UAUUAAAACUUUUAUUGAUUUCUAUUGUUAAAAACUCACAUGGUUGACAAAAUAAUCAAAGUGUUACUUGAAUCUCAUACGUAUAAACAGGGACAAAUUUUUUAAUUGUAGAAAUAGAUGAAAAUUUUAAGA
Molecule: microRNA precursor, 132 nt
Filed under: Gossypium arboreum
Lineage: Eukaryota; Viridiplantae; Streptophyta; Magnoliopsida; Malvales; Malvaceae
Description: MIR7502 microRNA precursor family
Rfam family: MIR7502 microRNA precursor family
Source: Rfam by way of RNAcentral